RNAcentral lists this transfer RNA (85 nucleotides) under Felis catus (domestic cat). It matches the Rfam family "tRNA". Rfam says of the family: Transfer RNA (tRNA) molecules are approximately 80 nucleotides in length. Their secondary structure includes four short double-helical elements and three loops (D, anti-codon, and T loops). The record is from Rfam by way of RNAcentral. RNAcentral also lists the same sequence under 2 other names. Lineage: Eukaryota; Metazoa; Chordata; Mammalia; Carnivora; Felidae.
GCCUGGGUGGCUCAGUAGGUUGAGCAUCUGACUUCGGCUCAGGUCAUGAUCUCGCAGUUCGUGAGUUUGAGCCCCGCGUCGGGCU